Molecule: ribosomal RNA, 521 nt
Filed under: uncultured Glomeraceae
Lineage: Eukaryota; Fungi; Glomeromycota; Glomeromycetes; Glomerales; Glomeraceae
Description: SSU rRNA
Rfam family: Eukaryotic small subunit ribosomal RNA
Source: RNAcentral
AGCAGCCGCGGUAAUUCCAGCUCCAAUAGCGUAUAUUAAAGUUGCUGCAGUUAAAAAGCUCGUAGUUGAAUUUCGGGACUAAUAUGUCGGUCGUGCCUCGGUACGUACUGGUAUUUUUGGUUUCUCCCUUCUGACGAACCUUGAUGUCAUUAAUUUGGUUUCUUGGGGAAUCAGGACUGUUACUUUGAAAAAAUUAGAGUGUUUAAAGCAGGCUCACGCUUGAAUACAUUAGCAUGGAAUAAUGAAAUAGGACGUUUGAUUCUAUUUUGUUGGUUUCUAGGAUUGACGUAAUGAUUAAUAGGGAUAGUUGGGGGCAUUAGUAUUCAAUUGUCAGAGGUGAAAUUCUUGGAUUUAUUGAAGACUAACUACUGCGAAAGCAUUUGCCAAGGAUGUUUUCAUUAAUCAAGAACGAAAGUUAGGGGAUCGAAGACGAUCAGAUACCGUCGUAGUCUUAACCAUAAACUAUGCCGACUAGGGAUCGGAUGAUGUUGAUUUUUUAAUGACUCAUUCGGCGCCUUACG